RNAcentral lists this ribosomal RNA (322 nucleotides) under uncultured eukaryote. RNAcentral describes it as "partial 18S ribosomal RNA". It matches the Rfam family "Eukaryotic small subunit ribosomal RNA", at positions 1470 to 1796 of the family's 1831-position model. The record is from RNAcentral.
CCCUUAGAUGUUCUGGGCCGCACGCGUGCUACACUGAGUGGAUCAGCGGGUCAGGUUGCGCGAAAGUGUUUCCUAAUCUUGAAAUCCGCUCGUGAUGGGGAUUGACGGUUGCAAUUUUCCGUCAUGAACGAGGAAUACCUUGUAAGCGCGGGUCAUCAUCCCGCGCUGAAUACGUCCCUGCCCUUUGUACACACCGCCCGUCGCUCCUACCGAUUGAGUGGUCCGGUGAGGCUUUGGGAUCUGAGCAAAGAGAGCGUUUCGCUCGUUUUGCCCGGAAAACUCAGUCGAACCUUAUCAUUUAGAGGAAGGAGAAGUCGUAACA